Molecule: long non-coding RNA, 241 nt
Organism: Micropterus dolomieu (smallmouth bass)
Lineage: Eukaryota; Metazoa; Chordata; Actinopteri; Centrarchiformes; Centrarchidae
Exons: 3
Source: RefSeq, a predicted model, not a curated record
UUUAACACCAGAGGACAGUGGGAACUACACCUGUGAGUGUUCACAUCUGUAUGGAACCGAUAUUCUCCAUCUGAAUAUCACUGUGGAAGAGGAUGAAGACGACCGCAGAUUUGCAGAAAUACCAUUUCCAAGUGCUUUAAUUGGUGUAACUACGUUUAUCGUUAUAACUGGAUUUAUCCUGGGAUUUAUCCACAGAAAAAAUCACCACAGAAAACAACUGGAACUACAGCACAGUCAUCAG